Molecule: ribosomal RNA, 500 nt
Filed under: uncultured bacterium
Lineage: Bacteria
Description: partial 16S ribosomal RNA
Rfam family: Bacterial small subunit ribosomal RNA
Source: RNAcentral
AUUGAACGCUGGCGGCAUGCCUUACACAUGCAAGUCGAACGGCAGCACGGGAGCAAUCCUGGUGGCGAGUGGCGAACGGGUGAGUAAUAUAUCGGAACGUGCCCAGUAGUGGGGGAUAACUGCUCGAAAGAGCAGCUAAUACCGCAUACGACCUGAGGGUGAAAGCGGGGGAUCGCAAGACCUCGCGCUAUUGGAGCGGCCGAUAUCAGAUUAGCUAGUUGGUGAGGUAAGGGCUCACCAAGGCGACGAUCUGUAGCUGGUCUGAGAGGACGACCAGCCACACUGGGACUGAGACACGGCCCAGACUCCUACGGGAGGCAGCAGUGGGGAAUUUUGGACAAUGGGCGCAAGCCUGAUCCAGCCAUGCCGCGUGCGGGAAGAAGGCCUUCGGGUUGUAAACCGCUUUUGUCAGGGAAGAAACGGCUCCUACUAAUACUGGGGGCUAAUGACGGUACCUGAAGAAUAAGCACCGGCUAACUACGUGCCAGCAGCCGCAGUAA